UUUCCUACGGGGGGCUGCAGUGGGGAAUAUUGCACAAUGGGCGCAAGCCUGAUGCAGCAACGCCGCGUGAGGGACGACGGCCUUCGGGUUGUAAACCUCUUUUAGCAGGGAAGAAGCGAAAGUGACGGUACCUGCAGAAAAAGCACCGGCUAACUACGUGCCAGCAGCCGCGGUAAUACGUAGGGUGCAAGCGUUAUCCGGAAUUAUUGGGCGUAAAGAGCUCGUAGGCGGUCUGUCGCGUCUGCUGUGAAAACUGGAGGCUCAACCUCCAGCCUGCAGUGGGUACGGGCAGACUAGAGUGCGGUAGGGGAGAUUGGAAUUCCUGGUGUAGCGGUGGAAUGCGCAGAUAUCAGGAGGAACACCGAUGGCGAAGGCAGAUCUCUGGGCCGUAACUGACGCUGAGGAGCGAAAGCGUGGGGAGCGAACAGGAUUAGAUACCCUGGUAGUCAU
This 450-nucleotide ribosomal RNA is filed under the name uncultured Microbacteriaceae bacterium. RNAcentral's name for it is "bacterial SSU rRNA". It matches the Rfam family "Bacterial small subunit ribosomal RNA", at positions 335 to 797 of the family's 1533-position model. The record is from RNAcentral. Lineage: Bacteria; Bacillati; Actinomycetota; Actinomycetes; Micrococcales; Microbacteriaceae.